Molecule: ribosomal RNA, 718 nt
Filed under: uncultured bacterium
Lineage: Bacteria
Description: bacterial SSU rRNA
Rfam family: Bacterial small subunit ribosomal RNA
Source: RNAcentral
UCAGAUUGAACGCUGGCGGCAUGCCUUACACAUGCAAGUCGAACGCGAAAGCGGGGCAACCCGCAAGUAGAGUGGCGAAUGGGUGAGUAAUACAUCGGAACCUACCCAGUAGCGGGGGAUAACCUCUCGAAAGAGAGGCUAAUACCGCAUACGACCUAUGGGUGAAAGCGGGGGGCCGCAAGGCCUCGCACUAUUGGAGCGGCCGAUGUCGGAUUAGCUAGUUGGCGGGGUAACGGCCCACCAAGGCGACGAUCCGUAGCUGGUCUGAGAGGACGACCAGCCACACUGGAACUGAGACACGGUCCAGACUCCUACGGGAGGCAGCAGUGGGGAAUUUUGGACAAUGGGCGCAAGCCUGAUCCAGCCAUGCCGCGUGAGUGAAGAAGGCCUUCGGGUUGUAAAGCUCUUUCGGCGGGGACGAAAAGGUCUGUGACAACACCACAGAUCCAUGACGGUACCCGCAGAAGAAGCACCGGCUAACUACGUGCCAGCAGCCGCGGUAAUACGUAGGGUGCAGGCGUUAAUCGGAAUUACUGGGCGUAAAGCGUGCGCAGGCGGUCUGCUAAGAGAGGUGUGAAAUCCCCGGGCUUAACCUGGGAACUGCGCUUCUAACUGGCAGGCUAGAGUGUGGCCAAGGGGGGUGGAAUUCCCCGUGGAGCAGUGAAAUGCGUAGAGAUGUGGAGGAACACCGAUGGCGAAGGCAGCCCCCUGGGCUAAC